GACGAACGCUGGCGGCGUGCUUAACACAUGCAAGUCGAACGGAGAGGCCCUGCUUUUGUGGGGUGCUCGAGUGGCGAACGGGUGAGUAACACGUGAGUAACCUGCCCUUGACUUUGGGAUAACUUCAGGAAACUGGGGCUAAUACCGGAUAGGAGCUCCUGCUGCAUGGUGGGGGUUGGAAAGUUUCGGCGGUUGGGGAUGGACUCGCGGCUUAUCAGCUUGUUGGUGGGGUAGUGGCUUACCAAGGCUUUGACGGGUAGCCGGCCUGAGAGGGUGACCGGCCACAUUGGGACUGAGAUACGGCCCAGACUCCUACGGGAGGCAGCAGUGGGGAGUAUUGCACAAUGGGCGGAAGCCUGAUGCAGCAACGCCGCGUGCGGGAUGACGGCCUUCGGGUUGUAAACCGCUUUCGCCUGUGACGAAGCGUGAGUGACGGUAAUGGGUAAAGAAGCACCGGCUAACUACGUG
Molecule: ribosomal RNA, 468 nt
Filed under: uncultured bacterium
Lineage: Bacteria
Description: partial 16S ribosomal RNA
Rfam family: Bacterial small subunit ribosomal RNA
Source: RNAcentral